RNAcentral lists this ribosomal RNA (677 nucleotides) under uncultured Alphaproteobacteria bacterium. Its description in RNAcentral is "bacterial SSU rRNA". It matches the Rfam family "Bacterial small subunit ribosomal RNA", at positions 43 to 766 of the family's 1533-position model. The record is from RNAcentral. Lineage: Bacteria; Pseudomonadati; Pseudomonadota; Alphaproteobacteria.
CAGGCCUAACACAUGCAAGUCGAACGGAUCCUUCGGGAUUAGUGGCGGACGGGUGAGUAACACGUGGGAACGUGCCCUUUGGUUCGGAACAACUCAGGGAAACUUGAGCUAAUACCGGAUGUGCCCUUCGGGGGAAAGAUUUAUCGCCAUUGGAGCGGCCCGCGUCUGAUUAGCUAGUUGGUGAGGUAAAGGCUCACCAAGGCGACGAUCAGUAGCUGGUCUGAGAGGAUGAUCAGCCACAUUGGGACUGAGACACGGCCCAAACUCCUACGGGAGGCAGCAGUGGGGAAUCUUGCGCAAUGGGCGAAAGCCUGACGCAGCCAUGCCGCGUGAAUGAUGAAGGUCUUAGGAUUGUAAAAUUCUUUCACCGGGGACGAUAAUGACGGUACCCGGAGAAGAAGCCCCGGCUAACUUCGUGCCAGCAGCCGCGGUAAUACGAAGGGGGCUAGCGUUGCUCGGAAUUACUGGGCGUAAAGGGAGCGUAGGCGGACUGUUAAGUUAGAGGUGAAAGUCCAGGGCUCAACCUUGGAAUUGCCUUUGAUACUGGCAGUCUUGAGUACGGAAGAGGUAUGUGGAACUCCGAGUGUAGAGGUGAAAUUCGUAGAUAUUCGGAAGAACACCAGUGGCGAAGGCGACAUACUGGUCCGUUACUGACGCUGAGGCUCGAAAGCGUGGGG